Molecule: ribosomal RNA, 433 nt
Filed under: uncultured bacterium
Lineage: Bacteria
Description: partial 16S ribosomal RNA
Rfam family: Bacterial small subunit ribosomal RNA
Source: RNAcentral
AACGAACGCUGGCGGCAUGCCUAACACAUGCAAGUCGAACGAGACCUCCGGGUCUACUGGCGCACGGGUGCGUAACGCGUGGGAAUCUGCCCUUGGGUUCGGAAUAACAGUUGGAAACGACUGCUAACACCGGAUGAUUACGUAAGUUCCAAGGUUUAUCGCCCAAGGAUGAGCACGCGUAGGAUUAGCUUGUCGGGGAGGUAAAGGCGCAUCACGGCUAGGUUACUUAGCUGGUCUGAGAGAAUGAGCAGCCACACUUAGACUAGGAAACGGCGCAGAAUACUACGGGAGGCAGGAAAGGGGAAUAUAGGAAAACGGGCGGGGGGCUGAACCACCUAUGCCGCGUGAGUCAUGAAGUCGUUAGAGAAAUAAAGCUGUUUUACCCGGGGUGAUACUGACGGUACCGGGAGAAUAAGCACCGGCUAACUCCGUG